This 490-nucleotide ribosomal RNA is filed under the name uncultured bacterium. Its description in RNAcentral is "partial 16S ribosomal RNA". It matches the Rfam family "Bacterial small subunit ribosomal RNA", at positions 29 to 507 of the family's 1533-position model. The record is from RNAcentral.
AUUGAACGCUGGCGGCAUGCCUUACACAUGCAAGUCGAACGGCAUCGCGGGAAAGCUUGCUUUCCUGGCGGCGAGUGGCGAACGGGUGAGUAACACAUCGGAACGUACCGGCUAGUGGGGGAUAACCCGUCGAAAGACGGGCUAAUACCGCAUACGCUCUUCGGAGGAAAGCAGGGGACCUUUGGGCCUUGCGCUAGCCGAGCGGCCGAUGUCCGAUUAGCUAGUUGGUGGGGUAAAGGCCUACCAAGGCGACGAUCGGUAGCGGGUCUGAGAGGACGAUCCGCCACACUGGGACUGAGACACGGCCCAGACUCCUACGGGAGGCAGCAGUGGGGAAUCUUGGACAAUGGGGGCAACCCUGAUCCAGCAAUGCCGCGUGGGUGAAGAAGGCCUUCGGGUUGUAAAGCCCUUUCGGCAGGGAAGAAAUCGGCGGGGCGAAUAACCCUGCUGGAUGGCGGUACCUGCAGAAGAAGCACCGGCUAACUACGUG